Long non-coding RNA from Nomia melanderi (Alkali bee), 378 nucleotides. RefSeq lists it as uncharacterized. The record is from RefSeq and is a predicted model, not a curated record. NCBI's taxonomy places the organism in Eukaryota, Metazoa, Arthropoda, Insecta, Hymenoptera, Halictidae.
UCGAGUGGUGUAUAUAUACAGCAGACAAAACGGAGUACGUUUAUAGAACCAAAGUACGGUGACAAUUCGAUACAUCAGUCAUGGCUCACAAAUUUAGCUUUCUUUUUCUACUUGUUUCUCUAAUAUUGCUAUCCGAAUAUUUCACGCCAUCGAUAGCGAAUAUACUUUGCCCAAUAUUACCUAAACACAUGACGUGUUGGAAGAACCCAGCUCUUGCAGCAAAGUGUAAGUUUAAAUGUUAAUUGGAACAAUGUAGGCUGUUUUCACGCAGCUUUCAGAAGAAUAAGAGUACUGCGAUAAUUGGACAAAGUACAUCAAAUAUGUUACACGUUUGGCAAAAAUGUAAUUGAAUUAACAAAUAAAUACUAUAUACUGAAA